GAUGAACGCUAGCGCCAGGCCUAACACAUGCAAGUCGAACGGUAACAGAGAGAGCUUGCUCUUUGCUGACGAGUGGCGAACGGGUGAGUAACGCGUAUGCAACCUACCUUUAACUGGGAGAUAGCCCCGAGAAAUCGGGAUUAAUGCCCCAUAACAUUACGAAAACUCAUGUUUUUGUAAUUAAAGCUUCGGCGGUUAAAGAUGGGCAUGCGGGACAUUAGCUAGUUGGUGAGGUAAUAGCUCACCAAGGCUACGAUGUCUAGGGGGCCUGAGAGGGUUAUCCCCCACACUGGUACUGAGACACGGACCAGACUCCUACGGGAGGCAGCAGUGAGGAAUAUUGCGCAAUGGACGAAAGUCUGACGCAGCCAUGCCGCGUGCAGGAUGACGGCCCUACGGGUUGUAAACUGCUUUUAUAUAGGAAGAAACCCCUUUACGUGUAAAGGGCUGACGGUACUAUACGAAUAAGCACCGGCUAACUCCGUG
RNAcentral lists this ribosomal RNA (486 nucleotides) under uncultured bacterium. RNAcentral's name for it is "bacterial SSU rRNA". It matches the Rfam family "Bacterial small subunit ribosomal RNA", at positions 28 to 507 of the family's 1533-position model. The record is from RNAcentral.